This 976-nucleotide ribosomal RNA is filed under the name uncultured bacterium. Its description in RNAcentral is "bacterial SSU rRNA". It matches the Rfam family "Bacterial small subunit ribosomal RNA", at positions 8 to 893 of the family's 1533-position model. The record is from RNAcentral.
AGAGUUUGAUCAUGGCUCAGGACGAACGCUGGCGGCGUGCUUAACACAUGCAAGUCGAACGGUCCGGCACUCAACACUGUGCAUCUAAGCCAGGGGGUGGAAGCAACACCUAAGGUUGAAGAAGCAUCAGGAUAUGGGUGCAGAGAGUUGAGUGCCGGAUAGUGGCGGACGGGUGAGUAACGCGUGGGUAACCUACCCAUAAGAGGGGGAUAACAGUUGGAAACGACUGCUAAUACCGCAUAAGCUUCCUAUGUAUAAGUAGGAAGUAAAGAUGGCCUCUGAAUAUGCUAUCGCUUAUGGAUGGGCCCGCGUCUGAUUAGCUAGUUGGUGGGGUAAAGGCCUACCAAGGCGACGAUCAGUAGCCGGCCUGAGAGGGUGGACGGCCACACUGGGACUGAGACACGGCCCAGACUCCUACGGGAGGCAGCAGUGGGGAAUAUUGCGCAAUGGGGGAAACCCUGACGCAGCGACGCCGCGUGAGCGAAGAAGGCCUUCGGGUCAUAAAGCUCUGUUUUAAGGGACGAAGUCUGCAGAGAAUAAUACGCUUUGCAGGUGACGGUACCUUACAAGAAAGCCCCGGCUAACUACGUGCCAGCAGCCGCGGUAAGACGUAGGGGGCGAGCGUUGUCCGGAAUUACUGGGCGUAAAGAGCACGUAGGCGGAUGCUUAAGUCAGGUGUGAAAGACCGCAGCUUAACUGCGGGGUUGCACUUGAAACUGGGUAUCUUGAGGGCAGGAGAGGUCAGUAGAAUUCCUGGUGUAGCGGUGAAAUGCGUAGAAAUCAGGAGGAAUACCAGUGGCGAAAGCGGCUGACUGGACUGACCCUGACGCUGAGGUGCGAAAGCGUGGGUAGCAAACAGGAUUAGAUACCCUGGUAGUCCACGCUGUAAACGAUGGAUACUAGGUGUAGGAGUAUCGACCCCUUCUGUGCCGCAGCUAACGCAAUAAGUAUCCCGCCUGGGGAGUACGUCGCAAGC